RNAcentral lists this ribosomal RNA (354 nucleotides) under Gomphus septima. RNAcentral's name for it is "partial 12S ribosomal RNA". Lineage: Eukaryota; Metazoa; Arthropoda; Insecta; Odonata; Gomphidae. The record is from RNAcentral.
AAUAAAUGUGAAUUUCUUAUACCAGGGUAGUAAUAGUUAUGUUCUUGAAACCCAAAGAAUUUGGCGGUAUUUUAGUCCUUUCAGAGGAAUCUGUCCCGUAAUCGACAGUCCACGAGAUAAUUUACUUAUCCUUGUAUUUCAGUUUGUAUACCUCCGUCAUAAGAAGAUCUUUUUAGAGAUAAAUUUUCUUAAUAUAUUAAGUAUAAAAUGUCAGGUCAAGGUGCAAUUUAUGGAUGAGUGGAGAUGGAUUACAAUAAAUUUAUUUAAAUGGAUUAAAUUAUUUAAUUUUUUAUGAAGGUGGAUUUGAUAGUAAUUUUAAUUAUUUGUUAUUAUGAUUUUGGCUCUAAAAUAUGC